GAUGAACGCUGGCGGCGUGCCUAAUACAUGCAAGUCGAGCGAACAGAUGAGGAGCUUGCUCCUCUGACGUUAGCGGCGGACGGGUGAGUAACACGUGGAUAACCUACCUAUAAGACUGGGAUAACUUCGGGAAACCGGAGCUAAUACCGGAUAAUAUAUUGAACCGCAUGGUUCAAUAGUGAAAGACGGUUUUGCUGUCACUUAUAGAUGGAUCCGCGCCGCAUUAGCUAGUUGGUAAGGUAACGGCUUACCAAGGCAACGUUGCGUAGCCGACCUGAGAGGGUGAUCGGCCACACUGGAUCUGAGACACGGUCCAGACUCCUACGGGAGGCAGCAGUAGGGAAUCUUCCGCAAUGGGCGAAAGCCUGACGGAGCAACGCCGCGUGAGUGAUGAAGGUCUUCGGAUCGUAAAACUCUGUUAUUAGGGAAGAACAAAUGUGUAAGUAACUAUGCACGUCUUGACGGUACCUAAUCAGAAAGCCACGGCUAACUACGUG
RNAcentral lists this ribosomal RNA (497 nucleotides) under uncultured bacterium. RNAcentral's name for it is "partial 16S ribosomal RNA". It matches the Rfam family "Bacterial small subunit ribosomal RNA", at positions 28 to 507 of the family's 1533-position model. The record is from RNAcentral.